Onychostruthus taczanowskii (white-rumped snowfinch) is the source of this 836-nucleotide long non-coding RNA. RefSeq lists it as uncharacterized. NCBI's taxonomy places the organism in Eukaryota, Metazoa, Chordata, Aves, Passeriformes, Passeridae. The record is from RefSeq and is a predicted model, not a curated record. The transcript has 4 exons.
GGGGUGCUGGAGCCCCCCGGCCCCCCGGUUUAGCCCCCACCCCACUCACCCCCCGGCUCUGGAGCUUCCUGCGCGCCACCAGCCGCUCCUUGAAAUGCCGCCAGUACAGCACCUCCAGGAAUCACUCACAGGCUGCAGAGAACCAUCUGGUGAAAUCCUGGAGCUUCCUCGGGCCCCUCCUCUUCCUCUUGCCUCCAGUCACCUCAUCCAGGCCGUGUGGCACCUGGAAGGGCCUCCCUGCAGCACAGCCCAGUCCUGAGGGACGAAUUCACCCCUCAGCCUCCUCUCCAGCGUCCUGGAUGGGCACGGGGAGCCCAGGACACCCCUGGCAGGUGCCACCCCUCACCUGCCUCCUCGCAGAAGCUCAGCGCCCGCGCCAGGGCCGUGCCAGAGCUCGGACGCUCCGCGGGGCUGGAUCGUGGAGCCACUGCCGGGGACAGUGACAGGCCAGACUGGGGGAAAUCCCUGGAGCUGGAGCAGCCUGGGACAGUGGAUGGGCUGGCACCCAUCCACGGUGGCACUGGAUGGGCUUUGAGGUCCCCUCCCACCCAAAACAUUCCGGGACUCCGUGGUCAAAAAGCUCCAACAUCCCAGGAUUUUGUGACAAAACAGGAUCUCAUUUUGGAGAAAUGGAGAACAGCAGAAUUUUCCUGCCGUUCCCUGGGGCUGCCAACACCUCCAAAAGGACCCAAUUUCGGAACGACCAGCCGAAAUCCUUUCGUCCCCACCAACAACCCCAGGGGGGAUUCCGGGGCGACCCCAGGGGCUGCUCAGGGGUCCUGGGGUGGGAUGGGGAGGGGGCAGGGGCCAGCUGUGUGCUCACCUUCCUGCUGUAG